This 1135-nucleotide long non-coding RNA is filed under the name Ananas comosus (pineapple). RNAcentral describes it as "long non-coding RNA (ACOM_LNC026402)". Lineage: Eukaryota; Viridiplantae; Streptophyta; Magnoliopsida; Poales; Bromeliaceae. The record is from RNAcentral.
AAUUGAAAUUUGAAAUUUGAAAUUUGAAAUUUGAAAUUUGAAAUUUGAAGUUUUUGAAAUUUGAAAUUUAAAAUUUAAAAUUUGAAGUUUUUGAAAUUUGAAAUUUAAAAUUUAAAUUUUGAAAUUUAAAAUCAAAAUUAAGUUUGAAUUUUAAAAUUUUAAAAUUUGAAAUCUAAAAUUUUAUGUUGAAAUUUAAAAUUUAAAAAUUGAUACAUCUUUGGGAACCCAAAAUGGUGGAAUUUUUUUUCUUUGGUUAAAGUGGAUUGUAAGUUUACUCCAUUUUUUGGAGUAUAGUAUAACUAAACUUCAAAAAUUACGCCUUUUUUUUUCUUCCAAACGCUUCAUAGGAUUAUUUUCCUACCGGCGUAGCAUAGUUUAACUAUACUACGUUUUUAGAGGUAUCCAAACAGGGCCUCAGUGUAAAAAAAGUUGUACACCGAGUAUAUAAGGUAUGCUCAUAUACAAUCUAUAAUUUGAAUUUUUUUUAAUUUUACCUACACCAAGUGUAAAAUUUUAGCGUAUGGACCAACCCUAUUUUUUAAUAGUCUCCUCGAGAAAAAAAAAAAAGUGAAAAAAGGUGGGCCCAUUUUUUUUUCUCUCUCUCACACACCCUACAAAGCUUUUUUUUUUUUUUUNUUUUUUUUUUUUUUUUUUUUUUUCUCUCAACAUAUUUUCUUUUUUGUUUUGUCCUACACUAAGUUUAAAAUUUUAUUGUAUGAACCAACCCUACACCCUCUCUCUCUCUCUCUCUCUCUCUCUCUCUCUCUCAGAUACACACUACACUUUUUUUGUUUUUUUUCUCUCAACACCCUCUCUUCUUCUCUCUCAGAUACACACUACACUUUUUUUUGUUUUUUUUUCUCUCAACACCCUCUCUUCUUUUUUUUUUUCACCUAACACCGAAUGUAAAAUUUUAUCACAUGGACAAAUCCUAUUUUUUAAUAAUCAAUAUAACAAAAUUAAAUUUUCAUACGGUUAACGUUGAACACCGAAUGUAUAAGACAUACUCAUAUACAAUCUAUAAUUUGAAUUCUUUUUUAUUUUUUCCUACAUCGAGUAUAAAAUUUUAGCGCAUGGACCAAUCCUAUUUUUUACACUUGGUGUGGGAUAAGAUAAAAAAAAAAAAGGUGUGGAG